ACUCAAAUGAAUAGACGGGGGCCCGCACAAGCAGCGGAGCAUGUGGCUUAAUUCGAUGCAACGCGAAGAACCUUACCUGGGUUUGACAUGCAGGGAAAUCUGGUAGAGAUAUCAGGUCCGCAAGGGCCUUGCACAGGUGGUGCAUGGCUGUCGUCAGCUCGUGUCGUGAGAUGUUGGGUUAAGUCCCGCAACGAGCGCAACCCUCGUCCUAUGUUGCCAGCGAGUUAUGUCGGGAACUCAUGGGAGACUGCCGGGGUCAACUCGGAGGAAGGUGGGGAUGACGUCAAGUCAUCAUGCCCCUUAUGUCCAGGGCUGCACACAUGCUACAAUGGCCGGUACAAAGGGCUGCGAUACCGCGAGGUGGAGCGAAUCCCAGAAAGCCGGUCUCAGUUCGGAUUGGGGUCUGCAACUCGACCCCAUGAAGUCGGAGUUGCUAGUAAUCGCAGAUCAGCAACGCUGCGGUGAAUACGUUCCCGGGCCUUGUACACACCGCCCGU
This 497-nucleotide ribosomal RNA is filed under the name uncultured bacterium. RNAcentral's name for it is "partial 16S ribosomal RNA". It matches the Rfam family "Bacterial small subunit ribosomal RNA", at positions 899 to 1397 of the family's 1533-position model. The record is from RNAcentral.